CAGUAGCCGCGGGAAUACGAAGGGUGCAAGCGUUAAUCGGAAUUACUGGGCGUAAAGCGCGCGUAGGUGGUUUGUUAAGUUGGAGGUGAAAUCCCCGGGCUCAACCUGGGAACUGCCUCCAAAACUGGCUGACUAGAGUACGGUAGAGGGUGGUGGAAUUUCCUGUGUAGCGGUGAAAUGCGUAGAUAUAGGAAGGAACACCAGUGGCGAAGGCGACCACCUGGACUGAUACUGACACUGAGGUGCGAAAGCGUGGGGAGCAAACAGGAUUAGAUACCCCUGUAGUCCCUGUCUCUUAUAC
Molecule: ribosomal RNA, 301 nt
Filed under: uncultured bacterium
Lineage: Bacteria
Description: partial 16S ribosomal RNA
Rfam family: Bacterial small subunit ribosomal RNA
Source: RNAcentral